Long non-coding RNA from Trematomus bernacchii (emerald rockcod), 884 nucleotides. RefSeq lists it as uncharacterized. The record is from RefSeq and is a predicted model, not a curated record. Lineage: Eukaryota; Metazoa; Chordata; Actinopteri; Perciformes; Nototheniidae. The transcript has 3 exons.
UAUAAACACUAGAUGGCUCAUGGGAGAUUUUCCAGCGUAGCUCACCGGCCGCCAUCUUGCUACAGUCAACAGCUACUCUGGUACGCGCUAUGGUAGCUGUUGUAAGGUGAGUGAUCUGCACAAAAAUACUCUUAACUCGCUGAAAUCUUGAUUGAUUUACAAACGGUUUGGUUUAUUAUAAACAUUAUUAGCAUGGCUAUGAUACAGGAUGCUUGGACAUGUUGAAAUUGCAGCUUUUCUUUAUGUAUGUGUGGUUGUAUUUAUUAGCUGGCUAAUAACAAGAGGCUGUGAGUGAGACCUAGUAUUACAAAGUUGACCCAGCAACUUUACACCAGUGGGAGAGGCAGAACUGCUCUUUCUUUUCAACAUAACUUAAGUUACACAUGAUUUCUUCCAAGUGGUUUGGCUUGUUAAAAACAUCUUACAUUUAGAUACAUUAUGAUACAGGAAAUUGCUGGCUUUGUGUUUACAGAAGUACCUGACUAUGCCGGACUUUUGUGCAGCCUACGGAUGCUCUAAUCGCCGCAGUCUGGAAACAAGAACCCGUGGAAUCACCUUUCACGUGUUUCCCAAAACCGGAGAGAGGAGGAGGCAGUGGGAAGCUGCCCUAAGAAGGCAGGACACUGCUCUGCAGUGAGCACUUCAGUUGUGAGGACUUUGACAGGACGGGGCAGACUGUCCGGCUUAAAGAUGGUGUUGUGCCAACAGUAUUCAACUUCCCAGCUCAUCUUCAAAGGCCGGAAGCAACAAGAAGCACAACCACUUCAAGAAGAGCGGAAGAUGAACCUCAGCCUAAUGUUGUGAGUAUUCUGAAUGUGGCCAAGACCAGAGAGAUGGUCAUUGAUUUCAGGAGGGUGAGGACGUCUCCUCUGCCCCUGUGCAUU